AGCGAACGUUAGCGGCGGGCUUAACACAUGCAAGUCGAACGCGAAAGUCCUUCGGAUGAGUAGAGUGGCGCACGGGUGAGUAACACGUAGGCAAUCUUCCCUCGAGUGGGGGACGAACUGCCCGAAAGGGCAGCUAAUACCGCAUAAGACCACGGUGGCUCCGGCCACUGCGGGAAAAGCUGGCCUCUACUUGUAAGCUAGCACUUGAGGAUGAACCUGCGCACCAUCAGCUAGUUGGUGGGGUAAUGGCCUACCAAGGCGAAGACGGUUAGCUGGUCUGAGAGGAUGAUCAGCCACACUGGCACUGAAACACGGGCCAGACUCCUACGGGAGGCUG
RNAcentral lists this ribosomal RNA (337 nucleotides) under uncultured Pseudomonadota bacterium. RNAcentral describes it as "bacterial SSU rRNA". It matches the Rfam family "Bacterial small subunit ribosomal RNA", at positions 29 to 351 of the family's 1533-position model. Lineage: Bacteria; Pseudomonadati; Pseudomonadota. The record is from RNAcentral.